AGCAAGUUUGCUUUCUGCGCGUAUUGUCUUUGAUAUUAUAAACGUAUAUCAAGUUACGUUAUCAUUAAACAAUUUUAAGGCAAUGUGGUUACUUACAAGUUGUUUCCAUUUCUUUAACAGCUUACAGAAGCUGCAAAAAUGCAUAUUCUUCAGGGACCAAGGAAAGUGGAACGAUCCAGCUACUUUUGCCUACUCUUCCGUUGAUUAGCACCUUCUGUGAUAUGACAACCAAAGGAGGUGGCUGGACUAUUAUUCAAAGAAGAGUUAAUAACGACUUUGACUUUCACAGGAACUGGAAUGACUAUAAGACAGGGUUUGGCAACGCACUUGGGAAUUUCUGGUUGGGUCUCGAAGCUAUACACCAGUUUACAAAGGAUGGAGUAGUAACUCUACGGGUGGAACUGAAACGAGAUGAUGGCAAGAGUGGAUAUGCUGAAUACCGGGGCUUUAAGAUUGGCGACGAGUCUUCAAAAUACAGGCUGACUUUGGGCAAUUUUAGCGAUAACGGUGUAGGUAACGCGAUGGCUGACAAUGACGGAAUGAAGUUCUCUACUAAAGACCAGGACAAUGAUGUAGUCUCGUUUAGCUGUGCACAGGAUUGGGAAGGAGGUUGGUGGUACCAUAGCUGUUUCAGAGCAAAUCUCAAUAAUGGCUUUUAUAGUAGCGUUAAAGGCCACCCUGAUUUUGAAAUGCCUAAGCGAAUGAGUUGGAAAACAUGGAGUGGCAAUUUCGGUGAUAUAACUUUUUCUGAAAUGAAGCUGAAGACGGUUGACUAAAAGUUCAUUUCAAAGUUGCGCUGAUGAAUCAGCUGCUAUGCAGUACCAACUGUGGAAAACGUUUUCUCCAAAAAGUAUGCAACAAGAACUAAAAAAUUUGAAAUUUACAAAUGCCAAAUUGCUUAGACAGAGAACCCUGCACACGGAAGAAACUCACUUAAGCAAAGUAAGUGCAACGAUAACACUUUACUUUAACAACCUUCUCUCUUGUGCGCCUAGCAUAGAGCCAUGGCAAUAACGGUUUGUCUUCUUAGCAUGUCCUUGAAAACUUCAAUCCAUUUAUAUUCCAUGCACGAUCUAUAAAGUUUUGAAUGAAAAGCGUGGACACUUUUUUUUAGUAUUGGCUUAAAAGUAAACUGGUGUUGAAAAUAUAAUGAUUUCAGUUAAAAAUCAGUGUGUAAAACUUCGAAGUAUAUAGCAACUGAAAAUGUCUUUAUUGAGAAUUUAAUCACUUACUUAGUUAUAUCGUAUUUAUUUGCUGCACGUAGUUAUUACUGAUUUGAUUUCGUUGUAACACUUUUUCUUACCUUCCAUAGCUUAAGAGUAACAAAAUAUCUGCCAACUUUUCACAGUUCCUAGAUAUUCCCAAUUUUGGAUAUUUCCCAAAGUGCUAUGGACUCAUCUCGUAUAACACCUGCAAUUCUCAAAAGAAGUAUCAUAGCAUUACCAGUGACGUCAUCAGUUGCCAAUCUUUUUCAAUACACAUGUCCAUCUUAUUCAGUAUAAAUUAUUCAAAGUUCACAAUGAACUCAAUUAGUGCAGAGCAGCUUAUUAAUGAAUGUGCUUUGAAAGAGUAACCAGGUCUUUUCAACGUUUGUUUAUUGAGGUAAAUACACCCACGUUUCAUUAAACUAAAUUAUAUUCUUCUCUAGAAGUCUACUCUAGAAGCCUUUGCCUGAGAGGAUCAGAGGUUGACAAGGAUGAGAAUUUGUUUCCGCUUUCCUCAUUUAAUAUUCAACUUCUAUUAUGCCUUUUUAAUAACUAGAACUUCAAAUUAAUGGUAGACGUUAAUAUUCAAAUGUUAUAAAUUGAAAAUCUGUACACAAAUGAUGCUUUGUUACAGCAGCUGUACAACAAGGAUGUGUUUUGUCAUAACAGCUUUUUAGAAUUUUUACUGAUUGGUGUUACAAUGUGCUCAUGGUAGGAAAUACAUGGGUAUCACUCUCAAAAUAAUGUUGCUUCAGUUUGGCUGAUGAAUUGUAGCAUAAUUAAAACCUUAUUGCUUAAGUCACUAGUAAGAAGAACUUUAAUCAAAUGCUUCAUAAAAAAUACAUUUAAUAUUAUCAUUGUUUCUAAACAUCUGUGCAAUCGCGCAUGAGAAGAUUCUUUACAUCUGUUCCUGCAAUGUUCCCAGGAAAGAGCGUUCUUCAACCUAACUUUAGUGUAGGUGCCUCUGGUUUUUUAGAAAGAUAUUUAACGAUAACGUGCCUUAAGAAAGUGCAGGAGUCAGUAAUUUUGAUCAUUCGUUUUCAUUGAAGAAACUCUUUUCUAGUCUGAACUAUUUGUUGGUUAAGUUCUAUGGCCCAGGCAACGUUUGGAUUGCACCCGCAUCCGGUCUUCGAUUUCCGAACGAUGAACGUUUUUCGGUUUCUAUUCACACUUCCACGACGUUCGAGCGAAUCCUUGGUGACAAUUUAGCGCGCUUUUCGGUUAGUUAUUCAUGAGAACAAAUAAUGGCUGAUUUCAAUCGACAAAGAUUGUUGCUUUUGAUGCGGUUUAGAGAAGGCAGUUGAGAGCAAAAGGCAUACCUUAGAAACGUUUGGGUACGACCAAACCUAUAAA
RNA transcript from Rhopilema esculentum, 2558 nucleotides. It is a transcript of the gene named microfibril-associated glycoprotein 4-like, with no coding region annotated. The record is from RefSeq and is a predicted model, not a curated record. Lineage: Eukaryota; Metazoa; Cnidaria; Scyphozoa; Rhizostomeae; Rhizostomatidae.